AAGUAAACCAAAUGAGGAUGAAACAGCUUUACCUCUGGACGCAUCGUAGUAUGUAUUGAAAUGGGACCUGUAAGAACAAAGUGCAUUCUCAACAGAUGAAAAAACGCUCACUCUAAAUCUUGCUGGCUUUCCAUCACAUCAGAUUGACCGAGACACCCUGAUUCCUUGUCUUUAUUUGUUUUCUGCAGAAUUCUCCUCUCUCUUUUGGUUCAAGUUCAACUGGUAAAAAGCUUUUCACUGCUAGGGGUCCCAGCAAUCCAAACCAGAUGCCCAGCCUCCCAAUCUAAUGCAUGAGGAGAGGGGCUCUCUGAAACACCAGCACAGACUAGGUAAGAAAUACCCUGAAAGCAGCCCUGUGGAGAAGGACUUGGGGGUACUGGUUGAUGAGAAGCUCAACAUGAGCCAGCAAUAUGCGCUUGCAACCCAGAAAUCCAACUGUAUCCUGGGCUGUAUCAAAAGCAGGGCAAUGUGGAAAAAAAAAAAAAAAAGAAAAAAAAAAAGAAAAAGAAAAGGAAAAGGCCUUAACACUGUGCAAGGCCUUCUCAGCAAUAACUAAAACAUUGGAGUGAAGCCAGGAUUGCUCUGAUAGCAUUCUUCAUGAUCCAGCACAACUGAGUGCUCUCGCAAGAUCAGGUUCAUUUCUUC
Cygnus olor (mute swan) is the source of this 645-nucleotide long non-coding RNA. RefSeq lists it as uncharacterized. The record is from RefSeq and is a predicted model, not a curated record. Lineage: Eukaryota; Metazoa; Chordata; Aves; Anseriformes; Anatidae. The transcript is spliced from 3 exons.